AUGCCCACCGAAAUAAUAUCAUGCUCCUUGUAUGGCGAUCUCAUCUACCACUGCGACGGAUAUCGUCACACCAUCGAUGUGUUCAUGGGCACCAGAUCGUGGGAUUCAAUGAGCAGCUCCUUCUCUCGGAUGGCUUUGGGAGCAUAUAAGAUCUGCAGCUGGCCCCUCGGCUUGGUCGGGAGGAGAUUUUUAACACCUGCGAUCCAGGACAGGAGUGAGCACCAGGAUGAGGAAGGAUGGCUGGAAAGAUGGAGGCUGGUGAUUUGUGGUGACAUGCUUCUCAUGCACAAUGCUUUGGCUCUACUGCCUCAACAUCUCCCACAAGUGACGCCGGAGCUCCUCGGCGCUGCGGCCAACCUCCGGAUGGCCAUUGAGGUACCGGCGGCACGCCGGCACGAUGUUCUCCGACACGGCCAUCCGGAGGUCGGCCCUGAGCACCCAUGGCCCCUGCUGGCGCCCCUAUCUCCGCAACUGAGAGCGUUCAGGGCUCCGGGCUUCACGUCAAGGCGCGACACCACGGGCACCCAUGAAACUCGCAGGACUUCUUCCUUCCCUUCUAAGCAACAGAUCCCCAUCUUCCUCCUUCCUCCCUUCGCUACCCAGAUCCACCGCGAGCAGGGCACGUUACAUCUGGUAUCAGAGGUCCAGCCCAUCGAUCUGGAGACCGCAUACCCCAAGCCCCGCUACCACACCAAACAAGCACUCAAGACGGAGGCGAUGGAGGAGCAACUCGCCGCGCUCAUCAAGUUGGUCAACGACGGCAGAGUGGCCAGCGAGGCCGGAUUCGACGCGAUCCAGACGUCGUUGGAACUCUGGAGGCCGGCGGUGUCCCAUCUCCAGCAGCAAGUGGAUGAGCUGCGUACCCAAGUGGGGCGCAUCGCCCUUCACCCGACCCUAGCGGCGCCUUCGGAUCCGAUCCCGGAGGGCAACGCGGUGGUGCGAUCGGCGGCGACGGCAGCUACGAGAGCGUCCCCGACCACCACGGGCCACGAGGUCGUGGCGAGAUCGACGACACCGGGGGUCAGACAUAUGGCGUGGUCACCACCCAUGUGCUGCCUCCGGUCAAGGUAUUUUUCAGUCUAUGGUGUUCACUCAGAUCUAUGGGUGCGUGUGGCUACCCUUCACUUCACCGGCAACGCGUCACGUUGGUUGCAAUUGCAUGAGUCACAGAGUGAAUCAAUGUCGUGGGAGGAAUUGUAUGCGGCACUAUGCGGCAAAUUUGCCCGGGAGCAGUAUCAAGCUCACUUGAAUCAGUUCCGCGCACUGCGUCAGACAGGCACUGUGCACAAUUACAUGCUGCAAUUCGAGGAACUCAUGCACCAGUUACUUGCACAUAAUCCUUCAUUUGAUCCUGUGUUCUUCACUACCCAAUUUUUGGAAGGAUUGAGACAUGAAAUUCGGGCUAGUGUAGUUCUUCACCAACCAAAGGACUUGGACUCUGCUUUUUCCUUGGCUUCGAUGCAGGAGGAGCUACUGGAGGCGUUGCCGAGGCGGGAGUACCGUCGGCAGGAGGGGCCAGUGCAGCGUGGAGGCGCUCGGCCGCUGAUAGCGCUCAGAGCACCACCAGCUCGCCUUGCAGUGCCGGGAGCGCCGGUUGCGGCUGAAGACAGACGCGGCGUCGACGCGGCCAAUCCACCAGACCGUCCGCGGGCAGAUUCUGGCAGUUCUCAUAGUUUUGUGAGUGAAGCAGUGGCCGCUGCAAUGCCUCGUCGGGUGCAGAAGACCAAUUGUUCGUCUGUUAAGAUUGCUGAUGGAGGAAUUCUUCAAUGUGACAGUAUGAUCCCUCGGUGCUCAUGGACAACGCAAGGGCAAGUGUUUGAAACUGACCUCCGGGUGCUAUCGUUGGGCUGUUAUGAUGUUGUUGCGGGCAUGGACUGGCUACAGCGCUGUGGACCUAUGUGGAUCGACUGGGAGCAGAAGCGGUUGCAGUUUUAG
This 1935-nucleotide ribosomal RNA is filed under the name Triticum aestivum (bread wheat). Its description in RNAcentral is "partial small subunit ribosomal RNA". The record is from RNAcentral. Lineage: Eukaryota; Viridiplantae; Streptophyta; Magnoliopsida; Poales; Poaceae.